This 69-nucleotide transfer RNA is filed under the name Zootoca vivipara (common lizard). RNAcentral describes it as "tRNA-Trp". The record is from RNAcentral. Lineage: Eukaryota; Metazoa; Chordata; Lepidosauria; Squamata; Lacertidae.
AGAAUCUUAGGUUACAUUAAACCAGAGGCCUUCAAAGCCCCAAACAGGGUACUAACACCCUAGCUUCUG